This 1343-nucleotide ribosomal RNA is filed under the name uncultured bacterium. RNAcentral describes it as "16S ribosomal RNA". It matches the Rfam family "Bacterial small subunit ribosomal RNA", at positions 28 to 1378 of the family's 1533-position model. The record is from RNAcentral.
GACGAACGCUGGCGGCGUGCUUAACACAUGCAAGUCGAACGGAAAGGCCCUGCUUUUGUGGGGUGCUCGAGUGGCGAACGGGUGAGUAACACGUGAGUAACCUGCCCUUGACUUUGGGAUAACUUCAGGAAACUGGGGCUAAUACCGGAUAGGAGCUCCUGCUGCAUGGUGGGGGUUGGAAAGUUUCGGCGGUUGGGGAUGGACUCGCGGCUUAUCAGCUUGUUGGUGGGGUAGUGGCUUACCAAGGCUUUGACGGGUAGCCGGCCUGAGAGGGUGACCGGCCACAUUGGGACUGAGAUACGGCCCAGACUCCUACGGGAGGCAGCAGUGGGGAAUAUUGCACAAUGGGCGGAAGCCUGAUGCAGCAACGCCGCGUGCGGGAUGACGGCCUUCGGGUUGUAAACCGCUUUCGCCUGUGACGAAGCGUGAGUGACGGUAAUGGGUAAAGAAGCACCGGCUAACUACGUGCCAGCAGCCGCGGUGAUACGUAGGGUGCGAGCGUUGUCCGGAUUUAUUGGGCGUNAAGGGCUCGUAGGUGGUUGAUCGCGUCGGAAGUGUAAUCUUGGGGCUUAACCCUGAGCGUGCUUUCGAUACGGGUUGACUUGAGGAAGGUAGGGGAGAAUGGAAUUCCUGGUGGAGCGGUGGAAUGCGCAGAUAUCAGGAGGAACACCAGUGGCGAAGGCGGUUCUCUGGGCCUUUCCUGACGCUGAGGAGCGAAAGCGUGGGGAGCGAACAGGCUUAGAUACCCUGGUAGUCCACGCUGUAAACGGUGGGUACUAGGUGUGGGGUCCAUUCCACGGGUUCCGUGCCGUAGCUAACGCUUUAAGUACCCCGCCUGGGGAGUACGGCCGCAAGGCUAAAACUCAAAGGAAUUGACGGGGCCCCGCACAAGCGGCGGAGCAUGCGGAUUAAUUCGAUGCAACGCGUAGAACCUUACCUGGGUUUGACAUGGAUCGGGAGCGCUCAGAGAUGGGUGUGCCUCUUUUGGGGUCGGUUCACAGGUGGUGCAUGGCUGUCGUCAGCUCGUGUCGUGAGAUGUUGGGUUAAGUCCCGCAACGAGCGCAACCCUUGUUCACUGUUGCCAGCACGUUAUGGUGGGGACUCAGUGGAGACCGCCGGGGUCAACUCGGAGGAAGGUGGGGAUGACGUCAAGUCAUCAUGCCCCUUAUGUCCAGGGCUUCACGCAUGCUACAAUGGCCGGUACAGAGAGUGGCGAGCCUGUGAGGGUGAGCGAAUCUCGGAAAGCCGGUCUCAGUUCGGAUUGGGGUCUGCAACUCGACCUCAUGAAGUCGGAGUCGCUAGUAAUCGCAGAUCAGCAACGCUGCGGUGAAUGCGUUCCCGGG